GACAAAAAACAGAUUGGCACAAUGGUGGG
This 29-nucleotide non-coding RNA is filed under the name Rattus norvegicus (Norway rat). The record is from RNAcentral. Lineage: Eukaryota; Metazoa; Chordata; Mammalia; Rodentia; Muridae.